UCUUAUGUUGUCAGUUGUCCUGCUGAUU
RNAcentral lists this non-coding RNA (28 nucleotides) under Rattus norvegicus (Norway rat). Lineage: Eukaryota; Metazoa; Chordata; Mammalia; Rodentia; Muridae. The record is from RNAcentral.